AGGCCGGGGCGGGGCAGCGGAUGCGGCGGCGGCGGCUCAGGGCGUUCCCGGCCCGGCGCGGGCGCCGCGCGGCUCAUUCACCGGGCCGUAGCUGGCACGUGCGGUCGCAGGGUCGCUCAAGGCGAGGCUGCUGCCAGAGUCCCCGGCCCUGCCCGAGAUGUGAGAAGAAAAAAAAAAGUUGGUAUUUAUUGCAGUACAUAGAGAACGCCACUAGAUGGAGGUAGGGUUCAAAGAUUGAUGAUCUGAUGCUGGUCUGGUAGAAAAUUGUGAAUUUUUGACAAUCACAACAAUUGGAGCAGCCUCAAGUAGACCCAGACUUUGAAUUUUGAAGAGCUGAAAUUAAAGCUUGUUUUAUGGAUACAGUACCUAGUUGUAUGGAUGCAGAGAUUGUAAUCGAAGGGCUGAAUCUAUUGUUGAAAGACAGCAGGUUUACUAAGGCUGCCUGACUGGGGGAGAAGAUUUGAACACUCUCAGGAGAGUGCUUUAACCACUGAGAUACAGAAUGUUAUGAGGCACCUAAAAGGCAAAGCUGAGCACUGCAAUUCCCUUUGUGGAUCUGGGCCUGAGCUGUUUAGAGAGGAAGGUGUUGACAAAAGGAGAAAAUGCUGGAGUCAAAGACUAUCCAAUGUUGCCAAUGCUUGUGAUUUCAUUACGAGUCUCAUCAUGUUUAGUGUAUGUCUUAAAGCUCUAGCUCCUGGGCUCAUGAGAAUCUACUUUAAACUAAAAGCUAAAAAGUAAGUUUCUAGCUCUCAUGGUUGCAGAGAAAAGCUUGCCAAUGUCACUCAAGUGCACCCCAAAAGGUUCAAAAGCUAGAAGAUAAACAGUGAGAACUCUGGAUGCAUUAUUUUUAAAAAUCACAUGAUUUUUAAUCCAAUCUCUUAUUUUUUGUGCCUGCCUCAUGAUAUUUGAGUGCUCCCAAUAUUGAUAUUUGACAAUACUGGUCACUUGUCAGUUAAAAAGGGGAUCAAAUAUAGAACUAAACUCAGGGAACUGUCCAAAAGUUAGAGAGAAUAUCUGAGAAAAAACACAAAAUGAAAUGUAUGAGACUACAAUGGUGUCCUGACUCCUGUGUUAGGAUGAACUGUACAAGACUUCAGCAUGGAUCAGAUACACUACUAAAGUUCCUUCUGCAUUGCAAAAUGUUCCAACCAAGUCAGACACAACAGCGUUUUGUUUAUCUUGACAUGCUUCAACUUGUAGACAAGUGUGUAUUUGGAUGCAUUUAAACAUUAUUCCUUAACUAAUUUUGAAGGAGUGUGUAAA
Long non-coding RNA from Dermochelys coriacea (leatherback sea turtle), 1263 nucleotides. RefSeq lists it as uncharacterized. The record is from RefSeq and is a predicted model, not a curated record. NCBI's taxonomy places the organism in Eukaryota, Metazoa, Chordata, Testudines, Dermochelyidae. The transcript is spliced from 4 exons.